Molecule: ribosomal RNA, 274 nt
Filed under: uncultured Eubacteriales bacterium
Lineage: Bacteria; Bacillati; Bacillota; Clostridia; Eubacteriales
Description: uncultured Clostridiales bacterium partial 16S ribosomal RNA
Rfam family: Bacterial small subunit ribosomal RNA
Source: RNAcentral
UUUCUUCGGAAUGACGAUUUAGUGACUGAGUGGCGGACGGGUGAGUAACGCGUGGGUAACCUGCCUUAAUACAGGGGGAUAACAGUUAGAAAUGACUGCUAAUACCGCAUAAGCGCACAGCUUCGCAUGAAGCAGUGUGAAAAACUCCGGUGGUACAAGAUGGACCCGCGUCUGAUUAGCUGGUUGGUGAGGUAACGGCCCACCAAGGCGACGAUCAGUAGCCGGCCUGAGAGGGUGAACGGCCACAUUGGGACUGAGACACGGCCCAAACUCC